UGGUGAAGGCUUGCCUUUACCAGCCGGCGACCGGUGCACGGGUGAGUAACACGUAUGCAACCUGCCUGCCACAGCCGGAUAAUCGGGAGAAAUCCCGUCUAAUACGGCAUAAUGCACCUAUGGGACAUCCUGUUGGUGCCAAAGGUUAAUUCCGGUGGCGGAUGGGCAUGCGUCGCAUUAGUUAGUUGGCGGUGUAACGGACCACCAAGACGACGAUGCGUAGGGGUUCUGAGAGGAAGGCCCCCCACACUGGUACUGAGACACGGACCAGACUCCUACGGGAGGCAGCAGUGAGGAAUAUUGGUCAAUGGGCGGGAGCCUGAACCAGCCAAGUCGCGUGAGGGAUGACGGCCCUAUGGGUUGUAAACCUCUUUUGCCGGGGAGCAAAGUGCCGCACGUGUGCGGUUUGGAGAGUACCCGGAGAAAAAGCAUCGGCUAACUCCGUGCCAGCAGCCGCGGUAAUACGGAGGAUGCGAGCGUUAUCCGGAUUUAUUGGGUUUAAAGGGUGCGUAGGCGGACGCUUAAGUCAGCGGUAAAAUUGCGGGGCUCAACCUCGUCGAGCCGUUGAAACUGGGUGUCUUGAGUGGGCGAGAAGUACGCGGAAUGCGUGGUGUAGCGGUGAAAUGCAUAGAUAUCACGCAGAACUCCGAUUGCGAAGGCAGCGUACCGGCGCCCAACUGACGCUGAAGCACGAAGGCGUGGGUAUCGAACAGGAUUAGAUACCCUGGUAGUCCACGCAGUAAACGAUGAAUGCUAGUUGUC
This 762-nucleotide ribosomal RNA is filed under the name uncultured bacterium. Its description in RNAcentral is "bacterial SSU rRNA". It matches the Rfam family "Bacterial small subunit ribosomal RNA", at positions 65 to 824 of the family's 1533-position model. The record is from RNAcentral.